Molecule: small nuclear RNA, 191 nt
Filed under: Castor canadensis (American beaver)
Lineage: Eukaryota; Metazoa; Chordata; Mammalia; Rodentia; Castoridae
Description: U2 spliceosomal RNA (ENSCCNG00000006856.1)
Rfam family: U2 spliceosomal RNA
About the family: U2 is a small nuclear RNA (snRNA) component of the spliceosome (involved in pre-mRNA splicing). Complementary binding between U2 snRNA (in an area lying towards the 5' end but 3' to hairpin I) and the branchpoint sequence (BPS) of the intron results the bulging out of an unpaired adenosine, on the BPS, which initiates a nucleophilic attack at the intronic 5' splice site, thus starting the first of two transesterification reactions that mediate splicing.
Source: Rfam by way of RNAcentral
AUUGCUUCUCAGCCUUUUGGAUCGGAUCAAGUACCGUAUCUGCUCUUGCCAGUGUAGUAUGUGACAUGUUCUCUAUCUGAGGACGAUAUAUUGCAUGCAUUUUUGGAGUAGGAGGUAAGACUAGGAGCUGGCUCCAUCUACACCAUGCACUGACCUGGUAUUACAGUAUCUCCAGGUAUGGCACACGAUAC